This 268-nucleotide unclassified non-coding RNA is filed under the name Hevea brasiliensis (rubber tree). Lineage: Eukaryota; Viridiplantae; Streptophyta; Magnoliopsida; Malpighiales; Euphorbiaceae. The record is from RNAcentral.
AGAAUGGGUUAUAAUAUAAACUAAUAGAUCAUCUUCUUCCUAACUCUCAUAAGUGAAGGAUAAGGAAAAGAAAUGAGUAUUUUCAUGGAAUGUGACAUUCUCAAGGACAAGAUAGCGAUUAAGAGUACGAAAAUAACACCUAUACCUUUUCUGAAGCCAAGAGUAUCCAAGAAAAAAAAAACUUAAAAGAGACUUUGAAUCUAAUUCGAUGACCUUUAGACGAAUAUGACAUACAAAGCAAGUACUACCAAAUAGGAUUUAGAAUUGA